AAACAGGCUGUGGUGAUCCCCUUCCAGUCCAUGGAAGACUUCUGUUGCCUGUUAAGGCAAGAUCACUUGAUGGGUCUCCCUGGGUCUAUUUUGUAAACUGACAGCAGUUUUUAAUCAUCAACAGUACAAACCACAAGGAGCACAAUUGCUCUGAAAGAAGGAAUCUUCCAGGAGUAACUGCAUCAGUGCCAGAGGAGACACAUGACAGCUUGCCUCAGAGGAACAGUAGUGACCAGUCACGCAUGCAAACGUAUCCUACUGCAAAUGCAAGCAGGCUCAGAAUCAGCCUUUCCUCCUCCUCUCUCACAUCGUGUUGUUUUCAAAGUUGCUGACUUAGAAUGGAAAAAAGGCAAGCAGCCUAAGUGACUAUGCCAGAGAGGUAGGGACAACUAUGUGUGAACAACCUUGUCAUAUGCAGCAAC
Molecule: long non-coding RNA, 422 nt
Organism: Pseudopipra pipra
Lineage: Eukaryota; Metazoa; Chordata; Aves; Passeriformes; Pipridae
Exons: 4
Source: RefSeq, a predicted model, not a curated record